RNAcentral lists this ribosomal RNA (443 nucleotides) under uncultured soil bacterium. Its description in RNAcentral is "bacterial SSU rRNA". It matches the Rfam family "Bacterial small subunit ribosomal RNA", at positions 26 to 518 of the family's 1533-position model. The record is from RNAcentral.
AGAACGAACGCUGGCGGCAUGCCUAACACAUGCAAGUCGAACGAAGCCUUCGGGCUUAGUGGCGCACGGGUGCGUAACACGUGGGAAUCUGCCCUUAGGUACGGAAUAACUCAGGGAAACUUGAGCUAAUACCGUAUGAUGUCUUCGGACCAAAGAUUUAUCGCCUAAGGAUGAGCCCGCGUCGGAUUAGCUAGUUGGUGGGUAAAGCCUACAAGACGACGAUCCGUAGCUGGUCUGAGAGGAUGAUCAGCCACACUGGGACUGAGACACGGCCCAGACUCCUACGGGAGGCAGCAGUAGGGAAUAUUGGACAAUGGGCGCAAGCCUGAUCCAGCAAUGCCGCGUGAGUGAUGAAGGCCUUAGGUGUAAAGCUCUUUUACCCGAGAUGAUAAUGACAGUAUCGGGAGAAGUAAGCCCCGGCUAAACUCCGUGCCAGCAGCCGC